This 395-nucleotide ribosomal RNA is filed under the name uncultured bacterium. RNAcentral describes it as "partial 16S ribosomal RNA". It matches the Rfam family "Bacterial small subunit ribosomal RNA", at positions 523 to 916 of the family's 1533-position model. The record is from RNAcentral.
AUACGUAGGACCCGAGCGUUGUCCGGAUUUACUGGGUAUAAAGGGUGCGUAGGCAGUUUAUCAAGUCAGGGGUUAAAAGCCGCAGCUCAACUGCGGAGCUGCCCUUGAACCUGAUAGACUUGAAUGUGAGAGGGGCUGAUAGAAUUCCUGGUGUAGCGGUAAAAUGCGUAGAUAGCAGGAGGAAUACCGGGGGCGAAGGCGGACUCUAGCGCCGACGCUCAUGCGAAGGUGCGAAAGCGGGGGGAGAGAACUGAAUUAGAUGCGCAGGUAGUCCACGCCCUAAAUCAUGGAUAGUAGGUGUGGGUGGUAUCGACCCUUGCCGCGCCGGCGCUAACGCAGUAAGUUUCCCGCCUGGGGAGUUCGGCCGCAAGGCUAAAACUCAAAGGAAUUGACGG